UCUGUUGUAGAUUUUUGGUUUAUGGUUACCAUUGGUAUUUAUACAGCAGUCUAUAUAUAUAAAUGACUGUUUUAAGUUGCUGAUCUCUUAAUCUCAAGUGCAUUUUAACUAGCCUCUAUUUGUACUCUCCUCCCCUUAUGAUUACUGUUUUUGAUGUCAUGUUUUACACCUGUUUUGUGUAUCCCUUAACUGCUUAUUGUGGAUAGAGGUGGUUUUACUUUUGCUUUGUAACCUCCCUACUAGCUUUGUGUGGGGAUGAUUUCCUACCUUUACUGCUUGUUUGCCUUUACCGGUGAGCUUCUUCAUUUCAUAAUUUUCUUGUUUCUUGUUGUGGCCUUUUCUUUUUUGCCUAGAGAAGUUCCUCUAAGAUUUGUUGUAAAACUGGUUUGGUUGUGCUGAACUCUUUUUAGCUUUUGCUUGUCUGUAGAGAUUUUGAUUUCUCCAUCAGAUGUGAACAAGAACCUUGAUGGGUGGAAUAUUCUUGCUUGUAGGUUUUUCCCUUUCAUCACUUUAAAUAUAUCAUGCCACUCCCUUCUGGCCUGCAGUUUCUGCUGAAAAAUCAGCUGAUAGCUUUAUGGGAGUUCCCUUGUAUGUUAUAUGUUGCUUUUCCCUCACUGCUUUUAAUAUUCUCUCUAUAUCCUUAAUUUUUGUCAUUUUAAUUACAAUGUGUCUUGGUAUGUUCCUCUUUGGGUUAAUCCUGUAUUGGACUCUCUGUGCUUCCUGGACUAGAGUGACUAUUUCUUUCUCCAGGUUAGGGAAGUUUUCAGCUAUUAUGUCUCAGAUAUUUUCUCAGGCCCUUUCUCCUGCUCUUAUCCUUCUGGGACCCCUACAAUGUAAAUAUUAGUGUGCUUGAUGUACCAGAGGGCUCUUAUACUGUCCUCUUUUUUUUUCUCUUUUCUUCUUUUGUUUAGCGUCAGUGAUUUCCACUACUCUGUCUUCCAGCUCACUGAUCCGUUUGCCACCUACUUCUUUGAGAGGCUCUCCAAGACCAGCAGGUUCCAGUCUUUUUCAUCAAUGGCUGUUCUGCAGAUCGUUGUGAUUUUGGUGUGCUUGUGAGAGGAGAGUCAUCUCCCUAGAUUGUAAAAGUGCAGGCCCUGCAAGACCUGGAUCCACCCUGACUGACAUCCUGAAUGAACAGCAACGCUGCUACCAGGAUUGGAUUAUACUUCAAAGGAGGCCAACUUUCAUGCCAAGCCACCAUGGAGACACUAAAGAAGUAAUGAGAAGACUGCUGCUCCCAUGGAAAUGCAACAAAAGCAGGUUACCCCACACACGACUAGACCAAUGCUUAAAAAACAUUUUACUUAAUGUUCCCAACUCACCUCUAGCCCCUCACCAACUGUUCUGGGGACUGUUAUUUGGCAAAACUUUAUUGAAAGCUAACAUACCAUCUUAUUCCCUCAGACCAUGUGAGGCCUAAGACUGGACACAUUGCUUUUCAUGUCCAAUUAGAAAUAUGCCCAGGAUACUUAUUCUGUUGAAGUGUAAAGAUGUAAAGAUGUAAAGAUGUAAAAUACCUGUAAAAAUACCUGUAAAAAUACCUGUUCUAACAGUUUCUUUACAGGUGAGUUAACUGAGGUCAAAAUAAAUUAGGUGAUUUGUACAAGGUCACACUAGUGAAAAGCAGAACUGUAAACCAUGCUCGCAGCUCCUUUCGCUGUAAAAUGACUGCAAAUUAUGCAUCCAUGGACCUCUAGAAUGUAACAUAUGUCUGCACAGAUAGAAAUCAGCCUGGAGCAAACUGUCAUUUGCAAGACAUACUGAUCUUGUAUGAAGAUGAAGUGUUAGGAUUCCUCAAUAUUAUACCAUUAUGACACUUUAGCACUAAAAGUCCCAGCAUGUCUGGGAAUGCCAACUACAAGCAACACCCUCAUAAUUCUGCAGUUUUAACUAAUAAAAGCAAAAAUAAAAAAAUUUAGCUCAUAUAUAUGUAAAGUUAACUCAGCUGGACGUAACAUUUCCCACAAUGAAUCCAGAAUCACACUGGAUUGUGGCAUAGGCAGUAGUAUUAACCAAUCUAUAGAAAAAGGCGUAUCAGUUCCUAAGUGGGAACACAGUAGGGGGACAGGGGCUGUGAAAGUAAUCAGAGAAGCAGGAUAGAUACAGUGUGUCUAGAAUUUUCCAAGGAACGGAGACACAGAAUUUGGAGAAUACAAACAACUGGGGAGGUGGGGUGGUGGAGUCUCUUUUGUGGGGAAUAUUAGCCUAGGUAAACUACUCAAGACAUCUACCUAAUUUUAUCCAAAUAUUAAAAUGUCUGAUGACUAAUUCCAUUUCCUGGGUUCUUCCAGAGAGGCAGAAAAAUACCCAGGACAGAAUUCUCAAGUAUUCUAGUUACUAGAAUCCACCUCCUACAAAAUUACCAGGUUGGCCUUCUGGUUCACCUAUCAAUCUCCUAGGUCUGGUCAACUCAGGGUUUCAGGGCCACCAGGGUGAAGCAUGGUUGACUUCACCAAGGAAAUGUUACCUGUUGAGGCUGCCUCCUGGUCAGCUUGCAGAUCUUUACUGGGAUGCCCAAUGUCACCUCAUAUUCCUUCCAUUUCACCACCAAACCUACUGCCUAAACAUGGCUUCAACAAAGACCUUUCAGAGAUUCAAAACAUACCUGGUAAAGGCAUUAAGAAAACUUAUAUGCUCUCCUUACAUAAACUGAAUACACCCUUUAAUCAGUUCUUGAAGUGAAAAGGCUAUAGCUCUCAAAUCCUUUCCAAGAGGCACCUUCAUCUACACUGCCUGGAUUCCACAGGACCAAACCAGGGACAUGCAACUGCAUAGUUCAACUUAUGUAGAGAUGUUUCUUUUCUCUGUCUGUAUUUUUACUCCUAAUUUUAACUAUUUAUUUUUGACUUCAUGAAUGUGGAAGAAAUGUAACUCUUCAAACAAAAAUAGUAAUACCAUUCAUUUGGAGCACCUAAGUAUCUGUCUGCUAGUUUGACCACUAAAAAUUGCUAAAAAGUUCCCUUCCCAGUAAAUGCAGACUACUUUCCCAUGCCUUUUUCAGCCUUAUCAAUACUUGGAGAGACUGACCAAAACAUAUUCUUUUUUUUUUUUUUUUUUUUUAAAUCCAGUUUUCCUCCAAUAGACAGGAAGCAUCGUAGCCACUUAGUCUUUCCAAGUUGGUGUCUAAAGGCCACUAAGAGAGACCGAGCCUCUAUUUUUAUUCUUGUUCCUCAGCCAAGACUCUAUUUUUACCCUGAUACCAAGAAUACUCUCUCCAGGAAUGCCUUGAAAUAAGACUACAUUGCUGGGACUUCGCUGGUGGUCCAGUGGUAAAGAAUGCUCCUUACAAUGCAGGGGACACGGGUUCGAUCCCUAGUCAGGGAACUAAGAUCCCACAUGCUGCGGGGCAACGAAGCCCAUGAGCCACAACUACUGAGCUCAUGCGCCUCAACUAGAGAGCCCACGUGCCGCAAACUACAGAGCCCAUGAGCUCUGGAGCCUGUGCGCCACCACCAGAGAGAAGCCCGUGUGCCGCAACAAAGAGCCCGCCUGCCGCAACUAAGACCUGAUGCAGCCAAAAAUUAAAAAAAUUAAAAAUAAAUAA
This is a long non-coding RNA of Orcinus orca (killer whale), 3544 nucleotides long. RefSeq lists it as uncharacterized. The transcript has 4 exons. The record is from RefSeq and is a predicted model, not a curated record. Lineage: Eukaryota; Metazoa; Chordata; Mammalia; Artiodactyla; Delphinidae.